This 474-nucleotide long non-coding RNA is filed under the name Lathyrus oleraceus (garden pea). Its description in RNAcentral is "Pisum sativum (pea) long non-coding RNA (PSAT_LNC037923)". Lineage: Eukaryota; Viridiplantae; Streptophyta; Magnoliopsida; Fabales; Fabaceae. The record is from RNAcentral.
GAUUAUCGAGUUCUGGGUUUAAGGUCAAAGCACAAUGGAUACAUUGAUUGGAUGAACGAUUCCAAGUUGCUGCUGCUAUGACUUGAUUCUACUGCAGUUGUUAUUACGAUUACGGUAAACCGAGUUUUAUGUGUUUGAUUUCCAUUUGAUGAACAUUUUGUGAGUUGUUGAUAAAAAGUAAUAUGAGUUCAGUUUCGUUAUGCAUGUUGUGAUUUGAACACAGGUUCAAGUUAGUAGUCGAUUUGAGUUUGAUUUUGAUCACAUAGAUUUCUUCUAUUCUGUUUCGGUUCAUAUAGGCGAUUUAUGUGUGAAACUGUGUGCUAUUGGUGAUAACAGUUAAGAUCUUCAAUUCUAUUUUGAGUUGUAGCAAAUGAUUUCCUCAUUCUGUCAUAUUGUUUCUUAAACUAUAUUGAAGUUAAAGUUAGUUUCUACCAGGAUAUAAAUCUCAAAGCUUAUUCCAAAUUUUUGGGUUAA